GAGGCAGGAGAAUGGCGUGAACCUGGGAGGCGGAGCUUGCAGUGAGCCGAGAUCACACCAGUGCACUCCAGCCUGGGCGACAGAGCAAGAACCUGUCUCUAAAAAAAAAUUUUUUUAAUUAAUUUCACCGUUACAGUUUGCAUUUCUUUUCUUUUCUUUUUUUUUUUUUUUUUUGAGAUGGAGUCUCGCUGUGUCACCAAGGCUGGAGUGCAGUGGCGCAAUCUUCCCAGAACACCCUCUCAGGCUCCCCACUAAAGCUCCUGCUUCCAGCUCAAGAACAGGGCAGGCUCGCUGACACAGCCAAGACAAGCACAUCACGAGCGGCUCUGGAGCUAAGGAAGGAGCCCAGCCUCCUGCUCAGGUCAACAGCCCCCCGCCCACCUCCCUGCCCCUCUGUGAUGGCUCAUUAUUCCGGUAUUCCCAGGAGACAGAUGGAAUUUUCCCCACCAGCGCCUAAUUACAUUCCAACUCGACGUGGUACAGUGACAUGUGUCCAAGCCGCGUACGAUUCCCAGUGUGACUGAGAGCUGAACACUCUGCAAAAGGGUCCAAAUGGGGAUGUUUCAGUCUUGAGGUGUGUGUUGAGCUGUUACCUGGGGAGGCCCUGGGGCGAGGCCCCCUCUCCUGUCAGGAGCAAGCCCCAUCUGGAACUAAUAGAACUCAGCCUAAGGCUACAGCUGGGCAGGCAGAAGAUGCUUCAGAUGGAAACCGAUGGAGGGAGGGGGUGUAGGAAAAGCAUUCCCUGAGGGCCUGUCCCAAGGGAGGGAGAGGAUUCUGACCCGGAAUCCAAGGAGCAGCCUAACUUCCCUGGACAGGAGUGCUUCCCAGCGCUCAGUGGAGCGAUCUCAGCGUGCUCCUAGCCUAGGAGAGUCCCUGGGCUGGGGAAGGGCAGUCUCUGUCUUGGGGUUCCCUGUCUGUGUGGCCCGAAGUUCCAGGGACUGCCCCCACCCACUAACAUAGCCAAGGGUCUGAUGUUGGGUGUGGAGGCUCCUAGAGGACACAGAGAUCCUCUGCCCUCUGCUUCUCUCCAGAACCGGUUCUGUCAUCCUGUGAUGGGAAUGGAGCCACUACUGGUUCCUGGUUUAACAUUUUACCUAGUUCCGGCAUUGCCACCACCAAAGCUCUUCUCCACUGAGGGCUUCCCAGCUUCACCCCCUCCCUCACUGCCUUCAGGGGCCCUUCCAAACCUCGCCCAGUCUCUCCCUACCUCACCUCCAGGCCUGGCCCCUGGCCUUCCCAGCAUCCUCACACAUCCCUCCCAGAAUUAUGGGCCCUCUGCCUCUGGUCCCAUUCUCUCACUGCUCCUGACCCCGAGGUCUCAAUUCAAAUGAUUUCAGAGGCCACGCAGGAAACAGAAGAGGCUAAAGUGGGCAGGGAGGUGGUACAGGUGGCAACCCAGGAGCCAGGCCCCUCUGCAGGCCCCAGGCUCCCGCCGCUCCUCCCCAGAAGGAAGAGGGGGCCCUGGGUUAUCAAUUCUUUGGAUUUUGCCAGAGGCUGGGAAUCAGGAUUUUUGCAUGCAAUUGGUUGGCAGCAAAUUCGACAAAACAAACAAAACAAACAAAACACUGUGUGGGCCAACACAGCUCCACCUGCAGCAUGGAUUCCGCCGGAGGCCAAGGCUUCUGACAGCUGCCUUCCUGGUCUAGAUGGCCCCCUCAGCAUCCUCAGCUCCCCGCCCCCGCUACCCACCACGCCUCGCCGUCUGUCUGUAGACUCAGAUCAAGCCUCUCCCCUUGAACCACAA
Molecule: long non-coding RNA, 1744 nt
Filed under: Homo sapiens (human)
Lineage: Eukaryota; Metazoa; Chordata; Mammalia; Primates; Hominidae
Description: non-protein coding lnc-DPH1-4:1
Source: RNAcentral